UAAUAGGUGAUGAUGAGGAGAGUAGAUUUACUAAACCUACAGAGAGAAAUCCUUAUAAGCUGAGAGGGAUUUCAGGUCAAUGGUAAAUUGAAGUGCACCUCUGAACUAUUACCUGAACUUAAGUAGGGUAAAUCGGUUGCUCCGUUAUAGCUUAACGAGUUGGGGCUUGAGCCCAAACAGAGUGGAACCGCGGGAUAAACCGUCUCUGUA
RNAcentral lists this non-coding RNA (210 nucleotides) under Caloranaerobacter azorensis. RNAcentral describes it as "T-box sequence". It matches the Rfam family "T-box leader". Rfam says of the family: Uncharged tRNA acts as the effector for transcription antitermination of genes in the T-box leader family. T-boxes are found upstream of many aminoacyl-tRNA synthetase genes and some amino acid biosynthetic genes usually in Gram-positive bacteria. The anticodon of a specific tRNA base pairs to a specifier sequence within the T-box motif, and the NCCA acceptor tail of the tRNA base pairs to a conserved bulge in the T-box antiterminator hairpin. Lineage: Bacteria; Bacillati; Bacillota; Tissierellia; Tissierellales; Thermohalobacteraceae. The record is from RNAcentral.